GUACUCGCUUCAGCAGUUAUGUAUACUAAAAUUGGAAUGACAGAGAAAAUUAGCAUAGUCCCUGCGUGCAAGGAUGACUCACAAAGUCAUGAACCACUCUAUGUUUUU
Small nuclear RNA from Hyaena hyaena (striped hyena), 108 nucleotides. Lineage: Eukaryota; Metazoa; Chordata; Mammalia; Carnivora; Hyaenidae. The record is from RefSeq and is a predicted model, not a curated record.